GGGCGGAUAGCUCAGCGGUAGAGCGUCGCCCUUACACGGCGAGCGUCACAGGUUCGAUCCCUGUUCCGCCCA
RNAcentral lists this transfer RNA (72 nucleotides) under Myxococcaceae bacterium. RNAcentral's name for it is "tRNA-Val". It matches the Rfam family "tRNA". From Rfam's summary of the family: Transfer RNA (tRNA) molecules are approximately 80 nucleotides in length. The record is from RNAcentral. Lineage: Bacteria; Pseudomonadati; Myxococcota; Myxococcia; Myxococcales; Myxococcaceae. RNAcentral also lists the same sequence under 1 other name.